Molecule: ribosomal RNA, 506 nt
Filed under: uncultured bacterium
Lineage: Bacteria
Description: partial 16S ribosomal RNA
Rfam family: Bacterial small subunit ribosomal RNA
Source: RNAcentral
AGUGAACGCUGGCGGUAGGCCUAACACAUGCAAGUCGAACGGCAGCACAGGAGAGCUUGCUCUCUGGGUGGCGAGUGGCGGACGGGUGAGGAAUACAUCGGAAUCUACUCUGUCGUGGGGGAUAACGUAGGGAAACUAACGCUAAUACCGCAUACGACCUACGGGUGAAAGCAGGGGAUCUUCGGACCUUGCGCGAUUGAAUGCGCCGAUGUCGGAUUAGCUAGUUGGUGGGGUAAAGGCCCACCAAGGCGACGAUCCGUAGCUGGUCUGAGGGGAUGAUCAGCAAAACUGGACCUGAGGAACGGUCCAGACUCCUACGGGAGGCAGCAGUGGGGAAUAUUGGACAAUGGGCGCAAGCCUGAUCCAGCCAUACCGCGUGGGUGAAGAAGGCCUUCGGGUUGUAAAGCCCUUUUGUUGGGAAAGAAAUCCAGCUGGCUAAUACCCGGUUGGGAUGACGGUACCCAAAGAAUAAGCACCGGCUAACUUCGUGCCAGCCGCCGCAGUAA